AAGGAAAUUAGACUGACAGUUUGUGGGGGAAGGGGCCAACUGGGAGUGGCAGUUGGGUCUUGUGACUAGCACUUCCUUCCUGCCGUAGGGGACUUGCUUCUGGGUGUGGGAGAAGGAAGGAGCUUGUUCAGCCCAGUCUGGAGUGGCAUGCUCUUCUUGGUUCAGCUCGAAGAUUCAGGCCCAUUCAUCUCUGAAGAUGAGGAAACUGAGACAAAGAGGUUAAACAAGUUACCCAGAGUCAUACAGCUAAGCCAUUUGGCCAGGAUCAAGCACUCAGAAUUCAUUGGAUGGAUUUAGAAAAGGAAAAGGUCUACUUAUCAACUUUGACCAAGGAAUAUCUACAGAGAAGAUCUACCAAGAAGUUUUUCCCCAAACCUCUUGGGGCACAUUCUUUCUCAGACCAUCUCAUUCCCUAAGGAGAAUGAGCUCGACCUUAAAGCAGUUGCUACAAAGAACUGAUUCUCACCUCCCUCUCUCUUCCUCUCUCAACUCCAAGUUUGUUGAGCCCCUGGAUGAGUUGCAAAGACUGCCUGUAAGUUCCCUUUGAUCUACUGCUUUACUGGUACAAGUAGCUUUCUUAAUAUUUUGCUCCUUAGCUGUCUGCAAAAAUCUGUCAUGGACACCAGCUCCCAGACCUUCAGGCAACCUGAUCUCCUGAACUUUGGAAAUUCAUACAGUCAUAGCAGUCUUAUACUCUGUCAACCAAGAACAGAGAAGGAAGGAACAAAAUGACUUGUAUUUCAUUGGCCAUACUUCAG
RNAcentral lists this long non-coding RNA (758 nucleotides) under Monodelphis domestica (gray short-tailed opossum). RNAcentral describes it as "lncRNA (ENSMODG00000042563.1)". The record is from RNAcentral. Lineage: Eukaryota; Metazoa; Chordata; Mammalia; Didelphimorphia; Didelphidae.